This 468-nucleotide ribosomal RNA is filed under the name uncultured bacterium. RNAcentral describes it as "partial 16S ribosomal RNA". It matches the Rfam family "Bacterial small subunit ribosomal RNA", at positions 28 to 507 of the family's 1533-position model. The record is from RNAcentral.
GACGAACGCUGGCGGCGUGCUUAGCACAUGCAAGUCGAACGGUGAAGCUCCAGCUUGCUGGAGUGGAUCAGUGGCGAACGGGUGAGUAACACGUGAGCAACCUGCCCCUGACUCUGGAAUAAGCGCUGGAAACGGCGUCUAAUACUGGAUACGAGAAGGGUCCGCAUGGGCACUUUCUGGAAAGUUUUGCGGUUGGGGAUGGGCUCGCGGCCUAUCAGCUUGUUGGUGAGGUAAUGGCUCACCAAGGCGACGACGGGUAGCCGGCCUGAGAGGGCGACCGGCGACACUGGGACUGAGACACGGCGCAGACUCCUACGGGAGGCAGCAGUGGGGAAUAUUGCACAAUGGGCGAGAGCCUGAUGCAGCGACGCCGCGUGUGGGAUGACGGCCUUCGGGUUGUAAACCUCUUUCAGCAGGGAAGAAGCGAAAGUGACGGUACCUGCAGAAGAAGCACCGGCUAACUACGUG